AUGGGCAAAACAUCUGCUUCUGGUGUUGUUCAGGAGAGUGAAAAAGUUGGGAAUGGUUCACCCUCUUCUCCUACCAAGGGGAAAAGGGGAAGGAAAGGGUCCCAGAUUAUAGCAAAUAAAAAGUAUCCCCUGAGAUCUGCACAUAGUAGUGCCAGGGUGCUUCGGUCUACUUCAAAAGACAAGAGUAAGACGCCUAAUGAGCCAGUAAGUCCAUUGAGAUCCGCUCAUAGUAGUCCCAGGGUUCUUCGAUCUACCCCUAAAAACAAGAGCAAGACACCUAAAAAGCAAGUAAAUUCAUUGAGGUCCGCACAUAGUAGUGCCAGGGUGCUUAGCUCUACCUUGAAGAAAAAGGUACCUAAUGAGCCUGUAAACGACAGUACUGCUGCUCAACCAGCUGCCAGGAAAAGGAAAAGAGGCAGGCCCUCAAAUGCAGCGAGUCCCAAGAAUGAGUGCAUCAAAAUUCGCCAGCGAGUUAGAUACAUUUUGAAUCGAAUGAACUACGAACAAAGUUUCAUUCAAGCAUACGCUGGUGAAGGUUGGAAAGGUCAAAGUUUGGAAAAAAUAAGACCUGAGAAGGAGCUUGAGCGAGCCAAGGCAGAAAUCUUGCGAUGCAAGUUAAGAAUUCGGGAAGCUUUUCGUAAUAUGGAUUCUCUUCUAUUGGAGGGGAAGCUUGACGAAUCUUUGUUUGAUUCUGAGGGAGAAAUAUCUAGUGAAGAUAUUUUCUGUGCCAUAUGUGCUUCAAAGCAUGUUACACUAAAAAAUGAUAUCAUUCUUUGCGAUGGAGUGUGUGAUAGAGGAUUCCACCAGAAAUGUUUGAAUCCUCCUUUGCUGGCAGAAGAUAUUCCUCAGGGGGAUGAAGGAUGGCUUUGCCCUGCGUGCGAUUGCAAGCUAGAUUGUAUAGAUUUACUAAAUGAACUCCAAGGGAGCACACUUGCUAUUCAUGACUCAUGGGAGAAAGUUUUUCCUGAGUCAACUUCAAAUGGCUUAAACCAAAUUGGAGCAUCUGAUCUUCCAUCCGAUGAUUCAGAGGAGGAUUAUGACCCUACUUUAGCUGAAGGGGACACGGUAGAUGAAAACAAAUCAUCUGCAGAGGAUGGGGACGAAGGAUCAGAUUCUGAUGACCUGGAUUUUAUAACAUCAUCCGAUGAGUCUGAACCUUCAAAGAAGAAAAGGUCUGAAUCAAAGAACAAAAACACCGUCAAUGACCUUGCGUUGCCUUCGGAUGACUCAGAGGAUGAUGACUUUGAUCCAGAAGGUCCAAAUUCCAGUGAAGACCAAAAGACCAAAACAAACUCAGAUGAGUCAGACUUUACAUCUGAUUCUGAUGAUUUCUGUGCUGAGAUUUCUAAAUCUUCUGGCAAGGAUAAAGUUUCGGCACCUUCAUUCUCAGACCAAACUAAUGGAGUGGACAUUAUGGAGGCAGAGCUAGAGCAAGACUCUGUGCUACCAGCUUCAAAUAGGCGACAAGUUGGACAUUUGGAUUACAAAAAGCUUUAUGAUGAGGCUUAUGGAAAAGAAACCACUGAUUCAAGCGAUGAAGAAGAGUGGUCUGGACAUAGCCCAAAUGGAAAUCCAGAAGACAGUGAUACAGAUUCAUUUGCUGGACCACUUAAGCCGGCAAAAACCAGAAGAGCACGAGGUGGGCACCAGAACAAUGAGCGUACUCCACAGAGUGAACGGCACAGCGGUUCAGUAAGUGAACAGCAUCCUGAAGUGCUUUCCAAUGGCACCAGUAGCACGGUCAGGAAAAAAGGUUAUGGUCCUAUUGUUAAUCAGAAGCUCAAGGCAUAUUUCGAAAAAGAACCUUACCCUAGUCGCCCAGCAAAAGAAAGUCUGGCACAAGAGCUUGGCCUGACAUUCAAUCAGAUCACUAGAUGGUUUUCUAGUACUCGUCAUUACUCAAGAGUUACUGCUGCCAAAAAAGGGAAGCGUUCAGAAAACUAUACUGCUGAGAACAAUGGCAUUGCUGCAGAUAGCAUACAACAGAGAGAACCCAAUGACAGUCUAUUGGGCAAACCAAAUGUAGAUAGAAACGGUAUUGUUUCGGAGGAAAGGAUGGCGCAAAAAAAUCUUGAUGAAGGUGAGAAAGAAGAUACUCCAUUCAGACAACAUAUCAGCUGUGAGCAGACACUAGAUGGGACUCCUGCUAACAAACACAACACUGCCAACUCAAGAGAAGUUGACUCACCAAUUGGUGCGCCUGGAGGAAACCAGCAAAGUGGCACCUCGAGGAAUGCAGAAGAUACCCCACUCGGACAAGAUAUUGGCUGUGAGCAGACCGUGGUUGCUGUCAACCAAAACUGCACUAUCGGCUCGAGCAAUGUCGGGUCACCGAAAGGUGUGCCUGGAGGAAACAAGCGCCUUAAUAACUCUCCAAGGAGUGUUGGAAGCCCAAGACGUGGGUCUGCUGAGAAGAACAUUCCUGGGCUAGAACAUGUAGACGAGGCAAGGAGGAAGGCUAUACUGCGGGAGCUGAGGAAGAUGAAGGCCGCAGGCAGGUGA
Molecule: ribosomal RNA, 2502 nt
Filed under: Triticum aestivum (bread wheat)
Lineage: Eukaryota; Viridiplantae; Streptophyta; Magnoliopsida; Poales; Poaceae
Description: partial small subunit ribosomal RNA
Source: RNAcentral